CUUAGCAGUGGCCAUAUACUACUUUGUCAACACAGCUUAUUAUAAAUCCUUCGCUAUAUAUACUUUUUUUGUUCGGAUUUGGGAAUUUUACCGUAUGGCGUACUGGCAGAGUUUUGGUGAAUCUAGCAAAGACGAUCUCGAUGAAUUAUAUGCGACAUGGCCAACUUACGUAAUUGCAGGAUUCUACAUGAUGUUUACUAACCUUCUGCUUUUCAACUUAAUCAUAGCAAAGUUUACUUAUACAUUCGGAAGAGUCCAAAACAAUUCAGAAGAGCUCUGGAUGUUUGAGCGCUAUACGGUGAUAAUGGAAUACAAA
Molecule: long non-coding RNA, 316 nt
Organism: Saccostrea cuccullata (small rock oyster)
Lineage: Eukaryota; Metazoa; Mollusca; Bivalvia; Ostreida; Ostreidae
Exons: 3
Source: RefSeq, a predicted model, not a curated record